Molecule: ribosomal RNA, 405 nt
Filed under: uncultured bacterium
Lineage: Bacteria
Description: partial 16S ribosomal RNA
Rfam family: Bacterial small subunit ribosomal RNA
Source: RNAcentral
AUUGAACGCUGGCGGCAGGCUUAACACAUGCAAGUCGAACGAGUGGCGGACGGGUGAGUAAUGUUUGGGCAUCUGGCUAAUGGCGGGGGAUAACUACGGGAAACUGUAGCUAAUACCGCGUACCAUAGGAUGAGCCCAUACGGGAUUAGGUAGUUGGUGAGGUAAAGGCUCACCAAGCCGACGAUCUGUAGCUGGUCUGAGAGGAUGACCAGCCACACUGGUACUGAGACACGGCCCAGACUCCUACGGGAGGCAGCAGUGGGGAAUAUUGCGCAAUGGGGGAAACCUGAUGCAGCCAUGCCGCGUGAAUGAAGAAGGCCUUCGGGUUGUAAAGUACUUUUGGUAGAGAGGCGUUAACUACAGAAGAAGCACCGGCUAACUCCGUGCCAGCAGCCGCGGUAAUUC